RNAcentral lists this long non-coding RNA (1368 nucleotides) under Chloebia gouldiae (Gouldian finch). RNAcentral describes it as "Erythrura gouldiae (Gouldian finch) lncRNA (ENSEGOG00005005740.1)". Lineage: Eukaryota; Metazoa; Chordata; Aves; Passeriformes; Passeridae. The record is from RNAcentral.
CCAGUAUCUGCACGUGACUCAGCCCUGGAAGAAUGACAGAUAACAAGAACAAUAUUAGUGACAUAAAAUAUAGGAAUAGAGUGCACAAGACUAGUGGCUAAAAAUUUGCAAGCAGUUCUAUGCAGAAAAGCUUCUGUGGCAUCAUACAGAAACAGGCAUUUAAAUGUUUGUUCCUACAAUUUCCAACCCUCUUGUAAUUCAAGGAAUAGUUAGAACCAUUGGAAUGUUGAUAUGAAUGAGAAUGUGUAGGCAUCUAGAAGAUUAGAUCCACGUCAGACUUUUGUUUUAUUCAGAGGUUUGGCUUCCUGCCCUCUCUUCAGGCAAUAAAUUGGCGGUAACAGCUGCUUCUAGCAUUCUGUUCAGUAGAAGUGUCCUAGCAGAGCAAAAACACACAAAAUAAGGACUCAAAACAGAAGUCAAGUGAGAUCAUCAUCAUCUUCAGCGCCUCUGCAAUGCUGCUCCGCUCAGGCCGUAGAAAGCCCUAUCAAAUGCCUCUCCAUAGAAGGAAGACUAGGAAGAAGAAAUUUCUGCUUGGAAAUAUGAGAACAGCUCUGGAGAAGCCAGUGUUUAGCCUGAGAAAAACAUCAAAAUGUUAUAUACUAACUGAAGAUUCAAAAACAGUGCAUUUUGAUAUAGAUGAAGAUGGUCAUCAUGAAAUAUCUACCAAGGAUUCACAAUCCCAUGAAGAUUCUAAAAAUUUGGUGAGCCUCACACAGAGAUCGAAGUUUAAUGAAUUUGUCCUGUUGUGCAAGGGUAAGAAGCAUCUCUCUCUAAAGGUCUUAAAAGCAUCCUGUUCAGAGCCAGAUGGUCCUUCAAUGGAGAGAUGUAAUAUGAAAACAUGCAGCCAUGAAGAUCCUGACUUUAAAGAGCUGAGUGAAGAUAAUAACUUUUUCAUCAUGCAUUACCAAGGAGAUGCAGUGCAGUUCCAAUGCUAUGAAGACAGCAGAUACUAUCUGUGUGUGAAUGAUGACUCCCUUGAUAUUCGCAAGCUGGAAAACAAAGAGCCCAACGACGACAAAAAUUUUUACUUCAGGGUGUCAUAUUUACAGGAAAAGUAACUUGUCUACCUUUCAGUGGCCUAAGUGUCCAUAUAGCUCCUAAGAAGAUGAGGAAGUUUGAGAUCAACUAAUUUCUGUUUGAGCUAAAUUUUUACAUUUUCAUAACUUCUAAGUCACCAGCAUUCUUUAUUUCUGUGAAUUCAAUAGCAAAAGAGGGAGGCCAAGUUUGAAAAACAUGUUACUAACUGAUCAGUCUCUGUGUCUUACCUACCAAUUAUGUUUUUAAGGAACCAAAAUAUUCUGGUGUGGGAAAAUAUAUGGGGGAUAUUUCAAAGAUGGCAACAAUAAAGAACAUAUUUGAAUAUGAUCA